UACGAAGGGGGCUAGCGUUGCUCGGAAUUACUGGGCGUAAAGGGCGCGUAGGCGGAUAGUUUAGUCAGAGGUGAAAGCCCAGGGCUCAACCUUGGAACUGCCUUUGAUACUGGCUAUCUUGAGUUCGGGAGAGGUGAGUGGAAUGCCGAGUGUAGAGGUGAAAUUCGUAGAUAUUCGGCGGAACACCAGUGGCGAAGGCGGCAUCCUGGACCGGCAUUGACGCUGAGGAGCGAAAGCCAGGGGAGCAAACGGG
RNAcentral lists this ribosomal RNA (253 nucleotides) under uncultured bacterium. RNAcentral's name for it is "partial 16S ribosomal RNA". It matches the Rfam family "Bacterial small subunit ribosomal RNA", at positions 524 to 776 of the family's 1533-position model. The record is from RNAcentral.